Molecule: ribosomal RNA, 245 nt
Filed under: Methanomassiliicoccales archaeon
Lineage: Archaea; Methanobacteriati; Thermoplasmatota; Thermoplasmata; Methanomassiliicoccales
Description: partial 23S ribosomal RNA
Rfam family: Archaeal large subunit ribosomal RNA
Source: RNAcentral
GUUUAGACCGUCGUGAGACAGGUUUGUUGCUUUUUGGUGGAAGUGUAUUGAUGCCUGACGAGAAGGACCCUUGAGUACGAGAGGAACGGGGGUUCGGUGCCUCUAGUCAAUCAGUUGUCCGACAGGGCAUGCUGAGCAGCCACGCACUACUGGAUAAGAGCUGAAAGCAUCUAAGCUCGAAGCCACCUUGAAAAAGAGGCAUCUUAGGGCGCUCAUAAUUGAUGAGCUUGAUAGAAUCGGGAUGU